Molecule: ribosomal RNA, 372 nt
Filed under: Clathria cleistochela
Lineage: Eukaryota; Metazoa; Porifera; Demospongiae; Poecilosclerida; Microcionidae
Description: partial 28S ribosomal RNA
Source: RNAcentral
UCAAAAAGAYCGCGAAACCGUUAGGAGGGAAAAGAAUGCGGYUGAAGUGGCUCCUCGUCAGGAUYAGGAGACGUCGCGCGGUCCCAGACGGGSCCGUCGACAACUCUGCASUUCUGCGGGGAGCCGGCCAAYGGCAGUUGUGUCCGGCCCAGGAGGGUGCCGGGGAAGGUGGCCCCGCGUUCGCGUGGGGAACUUAUAGCCCGGCGCCUGGACNUUCCGGAGACGACUGAGGAGAGUUGCGAGUUCUUCGCACGUUGCAGCGCAGGCCUCGUCUCGAGGCUGGGCCGCCACUGUCCGGCAGGCAGCCGAGGUGGUCACUGCUCGCAGUGGCCGUCGACGGUCCUUGUCGGCCGGGCGKAGGGCCGGUCGCAC